GACAGAGGGUGCAAACGUUGUUCGGAAUUACUGGGCGUAAAGCGCGUGUAGGCGGUUAUGCAAGUCGGGUGUGGAAGCCCCGGGCUCAACCCGGGAAGUGCAUUCGAUACUGCGUAGCUAGAGUACUGGAGAGGAUGGUGGAACUCUCGGUGUAGAGGUGAAAUUCGUAGAUAUCGAGAAGAACACCGGUGGCGAAGGCGGCCAUCUGGACAGAUACUGACGCUGAGACGCGAAAGCGUGGGGAGCAAACAGG
Molecule: ribosomal RNA, 253 nt
Filed under: uncultured bacterium
Lineage: Bacteria
Description: partial 16S ribosomal RNA
Rfam family: Bacterial small subunit ribosomal RNA
Source: RNAcentral